Molecule: ribosomal RNA, 497 nt
Filed under: uncultured bacterium
Lineage: Bacteria
Description: partial 16S ribosomal RNA
Rfam family: Bacterial small subunit ribosomal RNA
Source: RNAcentral
GAUGAACGCUGGCGGCGUGCCUAAUACAUGCAAGUCGAGCGAACAGACGAGGAGCUUGCUCCUCUGACGUUAGCGGCGGACGGGUGAGUAACACGUGGAUAACCUACCUAUAAGACUGGGAUAACUUCGGGAAACCGGAGCUAAUACCGGAUAAUAUAUUGAACCGCAUGGUUCAAUAGUGAAAGACGGUUUUGCUGUCACUUAUAGAUGGAUCCGCGCCGCAUUAGCUAGUUGGUAAGGUAACGGCUUACCAAGGCAACGAUGCGUAGCCGACCUGAGAGGGUGAUCGGCCACACUGGAACUGAGACACGGUCCAGGCUCCUACGGGAGGCAGCAGUAGGGAAUCUGCCGCAAUGGGCGAAAGCCUGACGGAGCAGCGCGGCGUGAGUGAUGAAGGUGUUCGGAUCGUAAAACUCUGUUAUUAGGGAAGAACAAAUGUGGAAGUAACUGUGCACGUCUUGACGGUAACUAAUCAGAAAGCCACGGCUAACUACGUG